GUUUAAUUAUAUACCGUAUAAAGUAAAUAAAAUGAUUGUUUUGAUUUAUUUACCGAAAACAUGAUUGUAAAUAAAUAAAAGGUACUGGUUUUGAUUUAUGUGCUUACUCUAAUGUAUAUACUGUUAUGUAUACAAAUUAUUUUUUAAAUAGGUGGUUUCUAAUAUGUUUUUGAUCCUGAAAAUCCGAGAAAUACACUUCUUCAAAUCGAAGUGAUUUUUAAUAUUGGAAGCACUAUAUAUAUAUAUUGUUCAAAUAUAUAUAUAUAUAUAUUCAUUCAGAUUAAAUAAUUUAGUCUUGAUUUUUAUUCCUAAAAAGUUUUGAAUGAAUUAUCAUGACAAAAUUUCAAUCACCUCCUUUUUAGUUUGUUAGAAGAAUGAGAUAUUUGAUCAUCCGUCUAAUAUUUGUUUGUUUUUAAUACCCUAUCUAGCCAUUAUAAUUGUAAGAAUGAGAGAUUUGAACGAUUUAUUAUAAAUUUUCUGGUUUAUCAUUUAAUAAAUCAAACAAUUCUUAGUUAUACACAUAAUUUACAUAUGCUAGAAUAGUAAAUUAUUAUAUAUAUUUUUAUCGGUAUACUCUUAAGUAACCAAAACUCAAAAACCGUAGGUUAAUAAAUAAGUAACUUUUUAGUUGUUCCAAUAUUAGAUGAUUUUUAUAUUGAAAUUUGAAUUAUAUACUAGGCAGACGUUUAUAUUUCGAGUAUGCACUUAUAUUAUAUAACAGCUUGAUAUAAUUGAUUUGAACACUAACAUGUAAAUAGAGUUUGUUGGUGAUUUUCUUCAAAAAUUUGAUUCUUAUAUAUGUGUUUAGAGUGGAACUAAUUUUUACAAAUGUCAAUCUUUUUAAAUCGACAGUUAUGUACAUUUUAAUUCCUAACCCUAACCGUGUAUUCUUGUACAAGUAUUUAUAUAUGCUGUACUCUUCGUUAAAAAAGCCAGCCACCAAUAUUUUAGAUCGAGCCAUAGCUGAUGCCAUUGUGUUAUCCACCUCUGAUCAUCACCCUCUUCUCCAUCUCUUUCCUCCUUUAUUCCCACGUUCUUCUUCUCCUUCUUUAUGAAGCUGUGCGUUGUUGUUAGGAGAUGCGAGACGCAAGCACCACCACCACCGUGAACCAUCUAACCUCAUCCCACCGGAGCCAUGGUUCAUCACCCGAGGAGCAGCCCAUGUUAUCACAGACUCGUUACCUGCCGUCACAUCCGUUGCGUUGUUGUUACGUAUCGGAUCCGUGAGAUGGAGAGCAUGAGCCGAGAGGAGAGAAAGGCGUUCGAGGCGGAGCCGCCAUGUUCCUCACCACCACCGGUCGUACCGCCGUGAUCCCUUGGUCACAGUAGCUGAUCCAUGUUGUCGGAGAGCCAUCGAUGCUACGUCGGUGACGUCUCGUAUCGGUUGGUGAUGUGGAGCACGUGAUCAAUUAUGAUAAGUUCCUUAUCCUAUUUUUCUUGUAUUACAAGUAACCGUUCUUAUCAUAAACCCUAUACAUAUAUAUUAAUUAUGCCUUUUGUCUUGUAUUAUUUAUAUUCGAUUUGAUGUGUCGCGGUGAGAAGUAGAGAUCCGUGGCGAAACUGUAGCUUUCUUGCUGAUCAAGUCAUUUCGUUUAUAGUCGGACUCGCUUCCGGUUCUUCCUUAUUGGAUAAGGUGAGACCGACAUGCAGAUCAGAUUGCUAUCAGAUUGGUGCUUUCGGGCGUUUCUUUAUUUCUUUUACAGACUUGCGGUUUUAUACUUUUAUCUAUAUUUUUGCAAUUUAUUAUACUAUUUGGAUC
Brassica napus (rape) is the source of this 1759-nucleotide long non-coding RNA. RefSeq lists it as uncharacterized. Lineage: Eukaryota; Viridiplantae; Streptophyta; Magnoliopsida; Brassicales; Brassicaceae. The transcript is spliced from 2 exons. The record is from RefSeq and is a predicted model, not a curated record.